UAGGAUUCCCAAAGUAAAGGCGAUUGAAAUGGGAAUAGCUCAGCGCUGAAUCAUUCAGUUUUAAACUGCUAUGAACUGUAGCGUAUAAUUGCAGUCUAUCCGUAGUAAUAGUUGUCCGAAGUUCCCAUAAACGGGACUAUAGUCCAAAGAGGGUGCUAGACCUGUACGGACGCUGUUGCUAUUGAUAUCUCUGUAAUUCGGAGUCGGGUUACUUGAAAAUGUAGCCUUAAGCCGGUGAUAUACUUCAUCGAAAGCUAAAUAUCGUAAGGAAGGCGAUAGUCUACAAGUACCGUGAGGGAAAGUUGCAAAGGACUUUGAAGAGAGAGUUCAAGAGAACGUGAAAUCCCAAGAGUAGAAGCAGAGCGAGUUGAAAUUGCUAAACGAUGAUAUAAUUAGGCUAUUGGCCGGUUAUGGAGUCGUGGUGCUGCGCUGGCUGCACUGUACGAGCUUUCAUUGACUAGUAAAUGUUGCCCAUUCUUCGGAUUGGUGUCUUGUUUAUUGGAAUAGCUUGCCGUUACAGUGUUUAACUUGAUAUCUUCGGAUAUGAGCCGGUGUUAAUGUCAAUUACCGCUCUGGCCCGUCUUGAAACACGGACCGAGGAGUGUUACUUAUGCGCGAGUCAGAGAGUUAUAUUAUUCUCAACGGCGUAAUGAAAGUAAAGGUUAAUUAAUUAACUGAGAUGAGAGGUUAGUCUCUUGUAGAUUAACUGCAUCAUCGCCCUGUCUCGAAAGCUUGCUUUUAGGCAGAGGUUGAGCGUAUAGGUAGCGACCCGAAAGAUGGUGAACUAUGCUUGAGCAGGAUGAAGCCAGAGGAAACUCUGGUGGAAGUCCGUAUAGGUUCUGACGUGCAAAUCGAUCUAUAGACUUGAGUAUAGGGGCGAAAGACUAAUCGAACCAUCUAGUAGCUGGUUCCCUCCGAAGUUUCCCCCAGGAUAGCUGGAACUUAAAACAGUUGAAUUCGGUAAAGCGAAUGAUUAGAGGAAUUGGGGAAAAAUUUUCCUCAACCUAUUCUCAAACUUUCAAUGGGUUCGAUGUAUCGGUUGCUUUAGUGAACUGUAUACAUGAAUGUGAAGGUUCCAAGUGGGCCAUUUUUGGUAAGCAGAACUGGCGCUGCGGGAUGCUCCGAACGUUAAGUUACGGUGUCAAAUAUUCGCUCAUGAGAUCCCAUAAAAGGUGUUGAUAGAUUUAGACAGCAGGACGGUGGCCAUGGAAGUCGGUACCCGCUAAGGAGUGUGUAACAACUCACCUGCCGAAUCUAUCAGCCCUGAAAAUGGAUGACGCUUGAGCGAGUAACCUAUACUUAACCGUUACUAUGCUUGUUACAUUGUUUAAUGUCUGGCAGUAACGAGUAGGAGGGACGUAGUGGUUGCAUAGAAGGCUUCGGACGUAGGUCCAGCUGGAGCUUCCACUAGUGCAGAUCUCGGUAGUAGUAGGCAAAUAUUCAAGUUUCAAACUUGAAGACUGAAGUGGAGAAGGGUUCCACAUGAACAGUAAUUGGAUGUGGGUCAGUCGAUCCUAAGAUAAAGGCUAAUGCCUUGUAUCAAUAAGAGGGAAAAGUUUACUUUUCUCUUAGAUAUCGAAAGGGAAUAGGGUUAAAAUUCCCUAACUCUCAUAUUGCGAUUCUAAUUCUUUAUCGGGUUAGUUAGGCGGUAACGCAAUCGAAGUUGAUAACGACUUUCAUAGACCGAGCUAGAGUUCUCUUCUCUAGUUUAGGAACGGACUCCCUGGAAUCGGUUCAUCCGGAGAUAGGGACGUUGUUUCCGUAAAGUAUUGCGGUUUCUGUAAUAUCUCGUGCUCUGUGAAGGUUCCUUGAAAAAUUAACGGAGAUAAUUAAGCAAUGGAGAAUCGUACCGAUAUCCGCAUCAGGUCUUCAAGGUGAGUAGCCUCUAGUCGAUAGAAUAAUGUAGGUAAGGGAAGUCGGCAAAUUAGAUCCGUAACUUCGGGAAAAGGAUUGGCUCCAGUGAUCGGGUUAGAUUGGCCUAUUGACUGAUCUUUGUAUGGUUUCUGCCGUGGCUGGAUAGUCUUCGGACGAUUCGGCCUAGUGUUGAGACUGUCUUAGGGACGUUUUUAGGUGUGCAUUUUGACUUCGGUCUUAGUGUCCUGAUUUGCCACUAUACGAUCAAACUGGAACUGGUACGGACUCGGGGAAUCCGACUGUCUAAUUAAAACAGAGGAGACAGAUGGUCCUUGCGGACGUUUACUGUCUCUGAUUUCUGCCCAGUGCUCUGAAUGUUAAAUCGUAGUAAUUCGAGUAAGCGCGGGUAAACGGCGGGAGUAACUAUGACUCUCUUAAGGUAGCCAAAUGCCUCGUCAUCUAAUUAGUGACGCGCAUGAAUGGAUUAACGAGAUUCCCACUGUCCCUAACUACUAUCUAGCGAAACUACAGCCAAGGGAACGGGCUUGGCAAAUAUAGCGGGGAAAGAAGACCCUGUUGAGCUUGACUCUAGUUUGACAUUGUGAAGAAUCAUGAGAGGUGUAGUAUAGGCGGGAGACUUCGGUCAACAAUGAAAUACCGCCACUUUCAUCGAUUCUUUACUUAUUCGGUUAUAAGGGGAUUGGCUUCGGCCUCUCUUCGUAGCAUUAAGCAUUGCCACCUGGUGGUAGUGUGACUCUCGCCGAAGACCUUGUCAGGUGGGGAGUUUGACUGGGGCGGUACAUCUGUCAAAUCGUAACGCAGGUGUCCUAAGGCUAGCUCAGUGAGGACGGAAACCUCACGUAGAGCAAAAGGGCAAAAGCUCGCUUGAUCUUGACUUUCAGUAUGAGUACAGACCACGAAAGUGUGGCCUAUCGAUCCUUUUAAUCGAGAAAGUUUCUCGUAAGAGGUGUCAGAAAAGUUACCACAGGGAUAACUGGCUUGUGGCAGCCAAGCGUCCAUAGCGACGUUGCUUUUUGAUCCUUCGAUGUCGGCUCUUCCUAUCAUUGCGAAGCAGAAUUCGCCAAGCGUUGGAUUGUUCACCCACUAAUAGGGAACGUGAGCUGGGUUUAGACCGUCGUGAGACAGGUUAGUUUUACCCUACUGUAGACUAAUAGUUGCGAUAGUAAUUCAUCUCAGUACGAGAGGAACAGAUGAUUCAAACAUUUGGUUCAUGGACUUGGUCGAACGGCCAAUGGUCCGAAGCUACCAUUUGAGGGAUUAUGACUGAACGCCUCUAAGUCAGAAUCCCAUCUAGUCAUGGUAACUAUAACUUUGCUUCCUGAUGUCGGGAGGCAUCUCUAUCUCAUGGUAACGUGAGAGCUUAUGCCCUAAUAGAUGGCCUGGCCAGUAGAUAUAUCAUCUGCUGGUUGCCACAGCCAGAUUACUCUGGUUCCAUGUCGGGGUGUUAAUUCACUUACAUACGAUUUGUUAACUAAUCAAGGUGUUGUAUCCAGUAGAGCAGUUCCUAUAUACU
This 3388-nucleotide ribosomal RNA is filed under the name Oscheius dolichura. Its description in RNAcentral is "eukaryotic LSU rRNA". It matches the Rfam family "Eukaryotic large subunit ribosomal RNA". The record is from RNAcentral. Lineage: Eukaryota; Metazoa; Nematoda; Chromadorea; Rhabditida; Rhabditidae.